This 253-nucleotide ribosomal RNA is filed under the name uncultured bacterium. RNAcentral's name for it is "partial 16S ribosomal RNA". It matches the Rfam family "Bacterial small subunit ribosomal RNA", at positions 524 to 776 of the family's 1533-position model. The record is from RNAcentral.
GACGAACCGUGCGAACGUUGUUCGGAAUCACUGGGCUUAACGGGCGCGUAGGCGGUCUGCCAAGUCCGGGGUGAAAGCCCCCAGCUCAACUGGGGAAGUGCCUUGGAUACUGGUGGACUCGAGCGAGGCAGGGGUCGUGGGAACUUCCGGUGGAGCGGUGAAAUGCGUUGAUAUCGGAAGGAACGCCGGUGGCGAAAGCGCACGACUGGUCCUCUUCUGACGCUGAGGCGCGAAAGCCAGGGGAGCAAACGGG